GGGUUCGCGCGCCAGGUCAAAGAUCGAUGAUAUAGGAAUUUAUCGUGAAGCCGUGUAAAAAUGGCGUCCAAAAAUGCGAAUGGAUGGCAGUCUUUCGAAAAAAACGCCAAAAGUAUUUGGAGUAGUUGGAACGCGAAUGGAGGCACGGCGUCUAACUUGGGAAGCCAUAGACUUUGUAGCCAUCGGCUAAACCAUGCGUGUAGUCCCUAUUUAGCGUACCAGUUGACGCAGAACGGAACGAUAAGCUUCUUAGCGAAGCACCACAUCUACCAAGGGAUGCAGCUAACGAUUGAUUACAGAUUGAUCGAAGAUGACAACUGUUGACACGUCUGUAUGUUGACAUAAGAGCGAUAAUAAGUGCGAGAUAAUGAUAAAGGCAGGUGCGCUUAUCGAUUAAACCGAUAAGCUGAUCGACGGUGCCAUAAAACACCGUAAAGAGCUAGAGAGAGAGAGAGAGAGUUAAAAGGAAUGUUCGGAGCGGUCAGGGUUCGCGCGCCAGGUCAAAGAUCGAUGAUAUAGGAAUUUAUCGUGAAGCCGUGUAAAAAUGGCGUCCAAAAAUGCGAAUGGAUGGCAGUCUUUCGAAAAAAACGCCAAUAGUAUUUGGAGUAGUUGGAACGCGAAUGGAGGCACGGCGUCUAACUUGGGAAGCCAUCGACUUUGUAGCCAUCGGCUAAACCAUGCGUGUAGUCCCAAUUUAGCGUACCAGUUGACGCAGAACGGAACGAUAAGCUUGUUAGCGAAGCACCACAUCUACCAAGGGAUGCAGCUAACGAUUGAUUACAGAUUGAUCGAAGAUGACAACUGUUGACACGUCUGUAUGUUGACAUAAGAGCGAUAAUAAGUGCGAGAUAAUGAUAAAGGCAGGUGCGCUUAUCGAUUAAACCGAUAAGCUGAUCGACGGUGCCAUAAAACACCGUAAAGAGCUAGAGAGAGAGAGAGAGUUAAGCUUGCUGCUUGCUGCAGUGUGCUAGUGUAUAACUUAAAAUGUGUAGUUUGUAGUUUGUGCAAGUGAAAAAUAUGUGUUAUUGAAUCUUGACUCAACAAAUUGAAUUUCAUCGUGCCAGUAAUGUAAGAAUUAUUAAAAAUGAUUUCACUUUAUGUAAUAAUUUUUCCAAAUUUAAAGUGG
This is a long non-coding RNA of Anopheles gambiae (African malaria mosquito), 1126 nucleotides long. RefSeq lists it as uncharacterized. The record is from RefSeq and is a predicted model, not a curated record. NCBI's taxonomy places the organism in Eukaryota, Metazoa, Arthropoda, Insecta, Diptera, Culicidae. The transcript has 3 exons.